UUCAAAAUAUUUUUACUGGGUGCUCCUGUGCUGGAUUGCUUGAUUGGUUUUUAUUCAUUAUGCUGUCCUUUUCUACUGUAUAUCCUUUUCCACUAUGUCGGAUCCCCACAGUGGUAAAGUCAGCAACUUUUUGCCUUUUUUCUCUGUGGAGAGGAUAUCUGUAUCUGCCUAUCUGUCUUUCUGCAUUAAAGUGUUUUAUAAAUGGUCCAUUACUUAAAAUGUCUGUUUUGAGGAACUGUGGGUCAGCACCUCCUUAUGUUACCCAGUAGUCUCUCCCUAUGCGGACAGGACUCAAAGUCCAACUUUGUAGUUGUGUGACCAGUAGAAGGUCCACUUAACUUCUAUUCAUAAAAUGAGAAAGAUAAAAUUUGCUUUAAAGUCUUCCAAAGGGUCACAAAAAAUAAAGUAUAAGUGUAUAUGUCCAUUUUAUUGUAAGCUGUUGAACAAAAUAUAUGUAUUAUUGGUGAAAUAGUGUAAUUAUGUAAGAGAAAACAAAAUUUAGAAUCAGAAAACUUGGGUUAAGUUCCACUGCUUACUAGCUGUGUGACUUUAGGUAAAUCGCUUACACUCUCUGCACUUUAAUUUUCUUAAAUUUGAAAAUAGAGAUAAUGGUAAAAAGUACCAUCACAAGAUUUUUGUGAGGAGCAACAUAAAGAUAUGGGGAAAAGAUUAUACAAAAUGCAAAAGCACUGAUCAUGAAGCUACACCUUAAUAGGAUUUCCUUAGUGGUAGCUGUUCCAUGGAUUUUUGAGGAAUAAGAUAUUUUAUUCCCUGUUAAGUUUCAGGCUUAAACUUCAAACUUAUAGGAACAAAUGAAAAAAAGUAUUUUGGAGUCAGAAAUUGGUCCUGUACAAUAAAACAAGUACACUGAAUUGAUUUUGCAAGAAAUAUUUGGAAGCUUCAGACUGCUGAAUCUGUUGGCCAUGCUGAAUUUUUUGAUGCAAAAAUCUGAUUCUCUCCUUGAUUAUUACCUUUUCAAGGACAGUUUAUGAACACCAGAUACCUCUCAGAAACUGUUUUUUAAAAACUAGUAUUUUUAAGCCCCACUCCUCUCAUACAUAACGUUUUCUUUUAGUCCCAUAGCUAAAUCUGGGUUGAUUGGUUUUUCUGACCAAUAGUUCUGAAGCAUCCAGGCUAACUCAUACCAAUUAUUUUCUUUGUUAAUAUAGCUAUUUGGGGGUUGUACCACCUUAGUGAUUUCAGUCACGUACUUUUAAAGACACUAAUUCUGUGUAAGUCAGUUCAUGCCUCUGAGUGAUCCCUUGAAAUAUGGAAUUCUCUGAAAAUUAACCUCUAGACUCUAGCCAAAGACAUAGCAAACUACCUGCUUAAAAGAAAUUUUUGUUCUUGGGAUGGCUUUCCCCUGCUCAUGCUCUCUCAAAUAAAUAAAAUCUU
Molecule: long non-coding RNA, 1395 nt
Organism: Lutra lutra (Eurasian river otter)
Lineage: Eukaryota; Metazoa; Chordata; Mammalia; Carnivora; Mustelidae
Exons: 2
Source: RefSeq, a predicted model, not a curated record